This 243-nucleotide long non-coding RNA is filed under the name Elaeis guineensis (African oil palm). Its description in RNAcentral is "long non-coding RNA (EGUI_LNC003848)". Lineage: Eukaryota; Viridiplantae; Streptophyta; Magnoliopsida; Arecales; Arecaceae. The record is from RNAcentral.
UGGACAAUUGGAUGGCGACGGUAGCCCAAAUGGGCUUUGCGAGAGGUUUAAUGCUUACGGAUAUUACAAAAUCUAUUUAUCCUGGUGUCAAGGUUAGAUUAGUUGAUAAUUUAAUCUGACAACAAUUUACUUAUGAGAAACUCCCAGAGCUCUAUUAUUCUUCUGGCAAAUUGCAACUCCAAUUUCUUUUUGCAGAUGUUCGGAGGCUAUUAUAAGUGAAGCAAAACCUCUCUACGGGCCUUG